Molecule: long non-coding RNA, 319 nt
Organism: Octopus sinensis (East Asian common octopus)
Lineage: Eukaryota; Metazoa; Mollusca; Cephalopoda; Octopoda; Octopodidae
Exons: 3
Source: RefSeq, a predicted model, not a curated record
AAUAGUAGUAGUAAUAAUAAUGAUGGUUUCAAAUUUUGGCAUAAGGCCAGCAAUUUCAGAGGAAGGGUGUAAGUCAGUUACAGUGACUCCCAGUGUUCAAAUGGUACUUAUUUUAUCAACCCUGAAUGGAUGAAAGGCAAAGUCAAUCUUGGUGGAAUUUGAAUUCAGAACAUAAAGAUGGACGCAACGGUGCUAAGCAUUUUGCCCGGUAUGCUAAUAGUAAUUGUGUGCUAAGGACUAAGUAAAAAAGGUUAAGCCUAUUGAGGUUUGACUGUAGUCAAUUAGAUCGACACCAGUUUGCAAUUGGUACUUAAUUUAU